UGGGGAAUUUUGGACAAUGGGCGAAAGCCUGAUCCAGCAAUGCCGCGUGUGUGAAGAAGGCCUUCGGGUUGUAAAGCACUUUUGUCCGGAAAGAAAUCCUUGGCUCUAAUACAGUCGGGGGAUGACGGUACCGGAAGAAUAAGCACCGGCUAACUACGUGCCAGCAGCCGCGGUAAUACGUAGGGUGCAAGCGUUAAUCGGAAUUACUGGGCGUAAAGCGUGCGCAGGCGGUUUGCUAAGACCGAUGUGAAAUCCCCGGGCUCAACCUGGGAACUGCAUUGGUGACUGGCAGGCUAGAGUAUGGCAGAGGGGGGUAGAAUUCCACGUGUAGCAGUGAAAUGCGUAGAGAUGUGGAGGAAUACCGAUGGCGAAGGCAGCCCUGGGCCCAAUGCACUGGACGCUCAUGCACGAAAGCGUGGGGAGCAAACAGGAUUAGAUACCCUGGUAGUCCACGCCCUAAACGAUGUCAACUAGUUGUUGGGGAUUCAUUUCCUUAGUAACGUAGCUAACGCGUGAAGUUGACCGCCUGGGGAGUACGGUCGCAAGAUU
This 549-nucleotide ribosomal RNA is filed under the name uncultured bacterium. RNAcentral describes it as "partial 16S ribosomal RNA". It matches the Rfam family "Bacterial small subunit ribosomal RNA", at positions 355 to 895 of the family's 1533-position model. The record is from RNAcentral.